This 340-nucleotide transfer-messenger RNA is filed under the name Acholeplasmataceae. RNAcentral's name for it is "UBA2284 sp001830045 Standard tmRNA". It matches the Rfam family "transfer-messenger RNA". Rfam says of the family: Bacterial tmRNA, also known as 10Sa RNA or SsrA, is named for its dual tRNA and mRNA-like properties. Its role is to liberate the mRNA from a stalled ribosome. RNAcentral also lists the same sequence under 12 other names. The record is from RNAcentral. Lineage: Bacteria; Bacillati; Mycoplasmatota; Mollicutes; Acholeplasmatales.
GGGGAUGUUCUGGAUUCGUCACGGCAUGGCGUCCAGUAUAAGCAUGUCAUGGUUGCUCAUGUAAAAAAGCCGAGGUUAUAAUAACCGGAAACCAAUCUUUACAAUUCGCUGCCUAAGAAAAGGUGCGUGCCAACUCUGAAUUUACUUACGGUUCUGAUGCGGUCCAACUUUAGUAAGUUAUCUCUAACACUGUUCCUAGAACGUUAGACGAAUCACAUAGGAUAGUAUCAAGAGCAUUUGUUCAUCUCGCUUUUGGUAUGAAUUCAUAAAUGAACUAAACAUGUAGAAAGUGCUGCACAAAGUGUCUUGCACAGGGGUUCAAAUCCCCUCAUCUCCACCA